Molecule: long non-coding RNA, 619 nt
Filed under: Phoenix dactylifera (date palm)
Lineage: Eukaryota; Viridiplantae; Streptophyta; Magnoliopsida; Arecales; Arecaceae
Description: long non-coding RNA (PDAC_LNC020434)
Source: RNAcentral
UGAUGGGGGCCAGCUGUGGCAUUGAGGGUGGCGGCAAGGAGGAAUUAGGGAGUAGAAUAAGGAAGGAGAGAGGAAGGGGAGAAGAAAUCUUUUACUUUGAAGUUUGAGACAAGGAGGUAGCAAAGAGAGAUUCGAGAGGGAGGAGAGGGGAAAAGGAGGAGGAAAGGUUUUUAAUUAAGAUACCUACUCAAGCGGCUGCAGCUUGUCCCACGGCUAUUUCAACUGCAAAUCGAUCUACUGCAAAAUAAUCUUGAGUCGCAUCCUAAUGGGCAAACUUUGCAAGGGCACCCUACAUCUACAACCUUCAGUUAUCAGACUCCUAACAACGUCUCGGUUAUUUUUGUUCGCAAAGUGCUCACAAGAAGUGGAUCGCCGCGCAAUUAGUUAGACUGCAUGUGCAACGCAUAUAAGAACGAUGAUAAAUGCCCAUUAUUCUAUAGAAGAGCCUUUGACUAGAAGGAAGAGAUAAUUCAAGGGGAAAAUCCUGGUGCAACCUCUAAAAGGGCAUAUUUAAUAGAUUGUAGGUUUUCUUGAUACGUAUGUAGGUAGGUAGGUAAGUAGGGAUUUAUAGUACACUUUGGACUAAAGUAAAACUACAUCCAAUUCUUGUGUUAGUUGU